AACGAACGCUGGCGGCAGGCUUAACACAUGCAAGUCGAACGAGAUCUUCGGAUCUAGUGGCGCACGGGUGAGUAACGCGUGGGAAUCUACCUUGGAGUCUGGGAUAACAGUUGGAAACGACUGCUAAUACCGGAUACGCCCUUAGGGGGAAAGGUUUACUGCUCCGAGAUGAGCCCGCGUCCAAUUAGGUGGUUGGUGAGGUAAAGGCUCACCAAGCCGACGAUUGGUAGCUGGUCUGAGAGGAUGACCAGCCACACUGGGACUGAGACACGGCCCAGACUCCUACGGGAGGCAGCAGUGGGGAAUAUUGGACAAUGGGGGCAACCCUGAUCCAGCCAUGCCGCGUGAGUGAUGAAGGCCUUAGGGUUGUAAAGCUCUUUCGCCGGUGACGAUGAUGACGGUAACCGGAGAAGAAGCCCCGGCUAACUUCGUGCCAGCAGCCGCGG
RNAcentral lists this ribosomal RNA (446 nucleotides) under uncultured bacterium. RNAcentral's name for it is "bacterial SSU rRNA". It matches the Rfam family "Bacterial small subunit ribosomal RNA", at positions 29 to 520 of the family's 1533-position model. The record is from RNAcentral.